CUGGACAAAAUGACAGUGUAACAUAUAGACUUGUGAUGGAAAAGAAAAUAUACUUAACUGAAUAAGAAUAAGGUUUAGUUAUCUUUUGAAAACAAAUAAAUAAUAAUAAUCGUUAUAUUAUUUGCAAUCUGCCAUUGCUAUCCUUAGCACAGGUUGCAUUUCAAAAAUUUCUUUGAAAAUACAAAAUUUGUCAAAUCUGCAGGCAUCACAAAAAAUCUGUGAGGAUCAAAACAUUCCCUUUUUUGUACGAGUGAACAAAUAAAGAUAUUUGAAAAAAGAAGUGGAGAAUAGAGUCCUAAUUUUGAUAUUUCCUUGAGUGAAAGACAUGUGCACCUACAAAAAGGUUACAAUGAAAUUAUUGAAUGAGCAGAAAGCAAAAACAUAUUCUCUGCAUGCAUUCAUGAAUGAAAACAUAAUUUUGCUUUGACUACAUACCGUAUUUCACCGCAUAAUAGUCACACCAUGGUUUUUCUGCCCAAAAAAAGGUUCAAACCCAGUUUAUCACGUAAUAGUCGCAUAAUUGACCAUUGCUGUUUUUUGUUGUUAUUAUUAAAAACUAAUUGCGAACAUCCUACUGAUCUUAUACUGAAGAGAGGGUCUAUUACCUAUCUGUUUAUUGUAUUUUAGUGUGUUUUAUCUAUGUAAUGCAUUAAAAAAUGACAGGAGGAGAGGGGUCACAAACAGAGUUUAUGUGAUGCAUUGGAAAAUAUGCUGUUAUGUAAUUAACAACUAUACUGUUAUCAGCAACUGUUACAAAACUGUUAAAAAAACAAAGCUUUGUAUAUAUAAUAUGGCAAAAAAUAAACCUUUGCAUAAUGGUCGCACCCCCAUUUUUAAGGAUUUAAGAAUUAUGUGGUGAAAUACAGUCAUUUUAAUGGGAGUAAGAAGGGCCUCUGACUUUAAAAUGGUACUCUCACCAAAUGGUUCCCAACCCAGAUCUAGGAUGUUUUGGACUACAUCUCCCUUGAUGCUUUGCUAGCAUUAUGGCCCUAAGAGCAUCAUGGGAGAUGUAGUCCAAAACAUCUGAGAUUGCCCACCCCUGCCCUAGACUAUACAACAGGUUCCCAAACCUUGGAUACAUAUAGGUUCAGUGCUAACAUCUGAAAUCAUUGAAAUCUCAUAUUUACUGAACCGGUGAUGUCAGAAAAAGCAGAACAGUGACCACGCGGAAAGUAUUGCUAGGCAAAUGUUGCUCACACUUGCUUCAGAUUUUUUGUUUCUGCUGUCCCUAAGAAAUAAAAAAAACACCAACUAUACAAUAUGUGUGUGUGCUUGUCGAGCACGUUACUUGGUGCAUAAAAUAGCAUAUUCAAGUGCCAAUGCUUCUCCCUUCCCCACUUUAACCAACUAUGAAUAACUUGAGUGUGUUAGCUUGAUUUUUUUGUUUUCUCCCCUCCAUCAUCGCUGCUGCUCUCUACUCUCCACCCACGGCCUAUCUUUGUAAGGUUGUGAACAUUUCAAUGGUCCCUAGUAUUAAAGAAACACUCCACUGUCAAAAUACAAAAUUUUAUAAAACAAAAUUUAAACUAAAAAAUCACUGCAUUAUUUCAUUAUACAUAUUUACAUUGGGAGGUUAUAUAAAACAGCUUGCUAGUUACUGCAAGCCCUCCCCUUCUUCCCCUCCCAGACCUCCUGUGGCUGUCCAAUCACAGACAUUCCAAUGCAGCUUGAUGAGAAGUCUUUGCAAGGCAAUUGUCUGUCUCUCGAGUUUUGAUCCGCCAAGUUAAAAAAAACAGGAAGUAACAGUACCUGUUGUCUGAUUAACAGCCAGGAGGUGUAACAAGGUUAAUUUAUAAAAGUGCCAAUUUCUAUUUGUACUUUUUUGUAAAAUGAAAAAAAAAAGAAAAGAGGUCACUCUUCACACACAUGAAGUACUUCAGCAAACUGGAGUCUAAAGUGUCCCUUUAAGCGUGAGAACUGGGAAGCUCUCCCCUCCUUCCUGUUUUUACUUGCUCUAUAGUCGUGUAAGGAAGCAGAGAUAUGUGACACCCUGCAGUGAAACUAGGGGUGGUUGUAGGUGCAUGUGCCCCAGAUGAAGUGGCAUUGCCAGGGGCCAGGUGGACUCCUGUCUGAGCCUGGAGCUCUGGCACUGAUGGCGCAUUCCUCCCAUACU
This is a non-coding RNA of Pelobates cultripes (western spadefoot toad), 2113 nucleotides long. NCBI's taxonomy places the organism in Eukaryota, Metazoa, Chordata, Amphibia, Anura, Pelobatidae. The record is from the annotation of a GenBank genome assembly.